UUGUAAAUAAGAAGCGGGCAGCAUUAUCUCCCAUAAAUGUAAACAAACUUGUUUGUCUUAAUGAUUGGCUGAACAAGUAGUAGGACUGAGUGGACUUGUCAGCUCUAAAUUAUGUAACAAAAGUCUGCCAUGUCUUUUAGACUGAGCUCUUUGGGUGUGCACAGCAGCUAGCACUGCGGUGGCCUUGAUCUCAUUUGAGGCUGCAAGUUGGUACUGUGACACGAAAAUGGUACUUCUGUCUGGAACCAGGGACCACAGAAGCCCAUGAAGGAAAAUAGCAAAGCAAAGAAAGUUGGCUGAACUUUCUUGAUCCUCAGGAAAAAGAACAAAUAUAGCAUAAGGAGCAGCAAUGCAAGAUUCCACCAAUGUGCCUCAGACUCCAGAGGAAUUUGAGGAUUUCUUGCAAGGCCUCAGAGGCUAAUGAGUGAAAAAUUGCAAUUUGGAUACAGCUUUUAGUGAUGUGGCCAUUUGUCUAACAGGAAUUAGAAUGAGCCCCCUUCCCUGACUGUUUCACAUAGAGCACCAAACAGUAGUAGAUCAAAACUAAGACACUUCAUAUCCACUUGG
Malaclemys terrapin pileata is the source of this 567-nucleotide long non-coding RNA. RefSeq lists it as uncharacterized. Lineage: Eukaryota; Metazoa; Chordata; Testudines; Emydidae. The record is from RefSeq and is a predicted model, not a curated record. The transcript has 4 exons.